This 429-nucleotide ribosomal RNA is filed under the name Bacillota bacterium. Its description in RNAcentral is "Firmicutes bacterium partial 16S ribosomal RNA". It matches the Rfam family "Bacterial small subunit ribosomal RNA", at positions 355 to 776 of the family's 1533-position model. Lineage: Bacteria; Bacillati; Bacillota. The record is from RNAcentral.
UAGGGAAUCUUCGGCAAUGGACGGAAGUCUGACCGAGCAACGCCGCGUGAGUGAAGAAGGUUUUCGGAUCGUAAAGCUCUGUUGUUAGAGAAGAACGUUGGUAGGAGUGGAAAAUCUACCAAGUGACGGUAACUAACCAGAAAGGGACGGCUAACUACGUGCCAGCAGCCGCGGUAAUACGUAGGUCCCGAGCGUUGUCCGGAUUUAUUGGGCGUAAAGCGAGCGCAGGCGGUUCUUUAAGUCUGAAGUUAAAGGCAGUGGCUUAACCAUUGUACGCUUUGGAAACUGGAGGACUUGAGUGCAGAAGGGGAGAGUGGAAUUCCAUGUGUAACGGUGAAAUGCGUAGAUAUAUGGAGGAACACCGGUGGCGAAAGCGGCUCUCUGGUCUGUAACAGACGCUGAGGCUCGAAAGCGUGGGGAGCAAACAGG